RNAcentral lists this ribosomal RNA (1244 nucleotides) under Phytoplasma sp. BN-Ab175. Its description in RNAcentral is "bacterial SSU rRNA". It matches the Rfam family "Bacterial small subunit ribosomal RNA", at positions 153 to 1399 of the family's 1533-position model. The record is from RNAcentral. Lineage: Bacteria; Bacillati; Mycoplasmatota; Mollicutes; Acholeplasmatales; Acholeplasmataceae.
GAAACGACUGCUAAGACUGGAUAGGAGAUAAGAAGGCAUCUUCUUAUUUUUAAAAGACCUAGCAAUAGGUAUGCUUAGGGAAGAGCUUGCGUCACAUUAGUUAGUUGGUGGGGUAAUGGCCUACCAAGACGAUGAUGUGUAGCCGGGCUGAGAGGUCGAACGGCCACAUUGGGACUGAGACACGGCCCAAACUCCUACGGGAGGCAGCAGUAAGGAAUUUUCGGCAAUGGAGGAAACUCUGACCGAGCAAUGCCGCGUGAACGAUGAAGUAUUUCGGUACGUAAAGUUCUUUUAUUAGGGAAGAAAAGAUGGUGGAAAAACCAUUAUGACGGUACCUAAUGAAUAAGCCCCGGCUAACUAUGUGCCAGCAGCCGCGGUAAUACAUAGGGGGCAAGCGUUAUCCGGAAUUAUUGGGCGUAAAGGGUGCGUAGGCGGUUAAAUAAGUUUAUGGUCUAAGUGCAACGCUCAACGUUGUGAUGCUAUAAAAACUGUUUAGCUAGAGUUGGAUAGAGGCAAGUGGAAUUCCGUGUGUAGUGGUAAAAUGCGUAAAUAUACGGAGGAACACCAGAAGCGAAGGCGGCUUGCUGGGUCUUAACUGACGCUGAGGCACGAAAGCGUGGGGAGCAAACAGGAUUAGAUACCCUGGUAGUCCACGCCCUAAACGAUGAGUACUAAACGUUGGAUAAAACCAGUGUUGAAGUUAACACAUUAAGUACUCCGCCUGAGUAGUACGUACGCAAGUAUGAAACUUAAAGGAAUUGACGGGACUCCGCACAAGCGGUGGAUCAUGUUGUUUAAUUCGAAGGUACCCGAAAAACCUCACCAGGUCUUGACAUGCUUUUGCAAAGCUGUAGAAAUACAGUGGAGGUUAUCAGAAGCACAGGUGGUGCAUGGUUGUCGUCAGCUCGUGUCGUGAGAUGUUGGGUUAAGUCCCGCAACGAGCGCAACCCUUGUUGUUAAUUGCCAUCAUUAAGUUGGGGACUUUAGCAAGACUGCCAAUGAUAAAUUGGAGGAAGGUGGGGACGACGUCAAAUCAUCAUGCCCCUUAUGACCUGGGCUACAAACGUGAUACAAUGGCUGUUACAAAGGGUAGCUAAAGCGUAAGCUUUUGGCGAAUCUCAAAAAAGCAGUCUCAGUUCGGAUUGAAGUCUGCAACUCGACUUCAUGAAGUUGGAAUCGCUAGUAAUCGCGAAUCAGCAUGUCGCGGUGAAUACGUUCUCGGGGUUUGUACACACCGCCCGUCA